This 344-nucleotide non-coding RNA is filed under the name Lactobacillus pasteurii. RNAcentral's name for it is "T-box sequence". The stretch from base 1 to 232 matches the Rfam family "T-box leader". Rfam says of the family: Uncharged tRNA acts as the effector for transcription antitermination of genes in the T-box leader family. Lineage: Bacteria; Bacillati; Bacillota; Bacilli; Lactobacillales; Lactobacillaceae. The record is from RNAcentral.
AUAAAGACUUGGAACAGAACAAGUAGUUUAAAGCCGAUUUUUAGAGAGUCGUUGAUGGUGGAAAUGCGACAAUUCUUUAAGCGAACACACAUCUGUGAGUUGAUUGCUUGAAUUCAGUAGAGUAAUCCGGGUAGCCCGUUACAGCAACAGGUUUGAUGAUAAACUUAUUGAGGCAGCUUGGUGUGAGCCGGUUGUGAAGAUGAGGUGGAAUCGCGUUGAAGACGCCCUCUUAAGGCUAUGGCCUUAGGAGGCGUUUUUUGUUUUUCUAGAGUCAAACCUGCUAAGGCAAAUUUGCGUGAGCAAGUUUGUAAACUGAGGUGGAACCACGAUUACUCGUCCUCUUG